This 1515-nucleotide ribosomal RNA is filed under the name human gut metagenome. RNAcentral describes it as "Bacterial small subunit ribosomal RNA". It matches the Rfam family "Bacterial small subunit ribosomal RNA". The record is from RNAcentral.
AUGGAGAGUUUGAUCCUGGCUCAGGAUGAACGCUGGCGGCGUGCCUAAUACAUGCAAGUCGAACGCUUCACUUCGGUGAAGAGUGGCGAACGGGUGAGUAAUACAUAAGUAACCUGGCAUCUACAGGGGGAUAACUGAUGGAAACGUCAGCUAAGACCGCAUAGGUGUAGAGAUCGCAUGAACUCUAUAUGAAAAGUGCUACGGGACUGGUAGAUGAUGGACUUAUGGCGCAUUAGCUGGUUGGUAGGGUAACGGCCUACCAAGGCGACGAUGCGUAGCCGACCUGAGAGGGUGACCGGCCACACUGGGACUGAGACACGGCCCAGACUCCUACGGGAGGCAGCAGUAGGGAAUUUUCGGCAAUGGGGGAAACCCUGACCGAGCAACGCCGCGUGAAGGAAGAAGUAAUUCGUUAUGUAAACUUCUGUCAUAGAGGAAGAACGGUGGAUAUAGGGAAUGAUAUCCAAGUGACGGUACUCUAUAAGAAAGCCACGGCUAACUACGUGCCAGCAGCCGCGGUAAUACGUAGGUGGCGAGCGUUAUCCGGAAUUAUUGGGCGUAAAGAGGGAGCAGGCGGCACUAAGGGUCUGUGGUGAAAGAUCGAAGCUUAACUUCGGUAAGCCAUGGAAACCGUAGAGCUAGAGUGUGUGAGAGGAUCGUGGAAUUCCAUGUGUAGCGGUGAAAUGCGUAGAUAUAUGGAGGAACACCAGUGGCGAAGGCGACGAUCUGGCGCAUAACUGACGCUCAGUCCCGAAAGCGUGGGGAGCAAAUAGGAUUAGAUACCCUAGUAGUCCACGCCGUAAACGAUGAGUACUAAGUGUCGGGCAACCGGUGCUGAAGUUAACACAUUAAGUACUCCGCCUGAGUAGUACGGUCGCAAGGCUGAAACUCAAAGGAAUUGACGGGCACCCGCACAAGCGGUGGAGCAUGCUGUUUAAUUCGAAGAUACGCGAAGAACCUUACCUAGACUUGACAUCCCAGGCAAAGCUAUAGAAAUAUAGUGGAGGUUAUCCUGGUGACAGGUGGUGCAUGGUUGUCGUCAGCUCGUGUCGUGAGAUGUUCGGUUAAGUCCGAUAACGAGCGCAACCCUUAUCGUUAGUUGCUAACAUUUAGUUGAGAACUCUAGCGAGACUGCCGGUGACAAACCGGAGGAAGGUGGGGAUGACGUCAAAUCAUCAUGCCCCUUACGUCUAGGGCUACAGGCGUGCUACAAUGGCCGAUACAAAAAGACGCAAUACCGCGAGGUGGAGCUAAUCUCUAAAAUCGGUCUCAGUUCGGAUUGGAGUCUGCAACUCGACUCCAUGAAGCUGGAAUCGCUAGUAAUCCUGAAUCAGAAUGUCAGGGUGAAUACGUUCCCGGGUGUUGUACACACCGCCCGUCACGCUAUGAGAGUCUGUAAUACCCGAAGUUGGUAGCCUAACCUUUUAGGAGGGGGCCGGCGAAGGUAGGACAGGUGAUUGGAGUGAAGUCGUAACAAGGUAUCCCUACCGGAAGGUGGGGAUGGAUCACCUCCUU